RNAcentral lists this ribosomal RNA (587 nucleotides) under uncultured haloarchaeon. RNAcentral describes it as "bacterial SSU rRNA". It matches the Rfam family "Archaeal small subunit ribosomal RNA", at positions 335 to 921 of the family's 1478-position model. The record is from RNAcentral. Lineage: Archaea; Methanobacteriati; Methanobacteriota; Halobacteria; Halobacteriales; Halobacteriaceae.
GCAGGCGCGAAACCUUUACACUGCACGACAGUGCGAUAGGGGGAUCCCAAGUGCACAGGCAUAGCGCCUGUGCUUUUCGGUACCCUAAGGCUGUACCAGAAUAAGGGCUGGGCAAGACCGGUGCCAGCCGCCGCGGUAAUACCGGCAGCCCAAGUGAUGGCCGAUCUUAUUGGGCCUAAAGCGUCCGUAGCUGGCCGUACAAGUCCAUCGGGAAAUCCACCUGCUCAACAGGUGGGCGCCCGGUAGAAACUGUGCGGCUUGGGACCGGAAGGCGCGACGGGUACGUCCGGGGUAGGAGUGAAAUCCCGUAAUCCUGGACGGACCGCCGAUGGCGAAAGCACGUCGCGAGAACGGAUCCGACAGUGAGGGACGAAAGCCAGGGUCUCGAACCGGAUUAGAUACCCGGGUAGUCCUGGCCGUAAACAAUGUCUGCUAGGUGUGGCUCCCACUACGAGUGGGUGCUGUGCCGUAGGGAAGCCGCUAAGCAGACCGCCUGGGAAGUACGUCCGCAAGGAUGAAACUUAAAGGAAUUGGCGGGGGAGCACUACAACCGGAGGAGCCUGCGGUUUAAUUGGAGUCAACGCCGG